RNAcentral lists this ribosomal RNA (301 nucleotides) under uncultured bacterium. Its description in RNAcentral is "partial 16S ribosomal RNA". It matches the Rfam family "Bacterial small subunit ribosomal RNA", at positions 509 to 807 of the family's 1533-position model. The record is from RNAcentral.
CAGCCGCCGCGGUAAUACGAAGGGGGCUAGCGUUGUUCGGAUUUACUGGGCGUAAAGCGCACGUAGGCGGAUUCUUAAGUCAGAGGUGAAAUCCCAAGGCUCAACCUUGGAACUGCCUUUGAUACUGGGGAUCUCGAGUCCGGGAGAGGUGAGUGGAACUGCGAGUGUAGAGGUGAAAUUCGUAGAUAUUCGCAAGAACACCAGUGGCGAAGGCGGCUCACUGGCCCGGUACUGACGCUGAGGUGCGAAAGCGUGGGGAGCAAACAGGAUUAGAUACCCCCGUAGUCCCUGUCUCUUAUAC